This is a small nuclear RNA of Callithrix jacchus (white-tufted-ear marmoset), 105 nucleotides long. The record is from Ensembl. NCBI's taxonomy places the organism in Eukaryota, Metazoa, Chordata, Mammalia, Primates, Cebidae.
GUGCUUGCUUUGGCAGCACAUAUACUAAAAUUGGAAUGACAGAGAAGAUUAGCAUGGCCCCUGUGCCAGGCUGACACACUAAUUUGUGAAGCAUUAGAUUAAUUU